Molecule: long non-coding RNA, 7577 nt
Organism: Dama dama (fallow deer)
Lineage: Eukaryota; Metazoa; Chordata; Mammalia; Artiodactyla; Cervidae
Exons: 3
Source: RefSeq, a predicted model, not a curated record
UGCCAGCUGUUUAAAAGUACCCCUGUGGCAGUGGCAGUGAGGGGUGCCAGAGGCCCAGUGAAGUUAGUUGAGAAGCAGUGAUACCUCCAACCAUCCCCCAAACGGGCUGGCCCACAUCUCCAGGCCACAAGGAGCCACACCUGGAUGGACCCCAAGAGAGGCAAGGGCACUGGCUGGUGGGAGCCACCCCUUUUCAACCCUCACGCUGACACAGCAAACACCCCAGAGAAGGGCCUCCUGAGGACCUGAGGAGGGCAGGCGGCGGGUUCCCUGGACACAGAACUCCUCCCCAGAGCUUCCCAACAGAAGACACAGGCUGCCCCCCGGGGCCAAGCGACAUUUCCUGAAGACAGUGGGGAACAGGGAAGGAAAAACAGUCCAUCCUCCGGGAGUAGGAGGAUGUGGACAGCCAGCACCAGGUAAGAUUCUGCCAGGUAAGAUUGUGAGGCCACCUGUUCGACUGAUUUUUUUGAUGGAAUGAGAAACAGGGAGACAGUAAGAAGUGCUUGUGAGAAGGGAUCACACUACUUGAGUCUCCCUAGUGGGACCCAUCUCCUGACUGGGGACCCAGAGCAAGGAGGGGCCUCUUGUGGGGUAAGUGGAACAGGAGAGCUAUAGACCCCCUUCUCAGUGAGACCUCAUUUGAAAGAGAAAUGGGGUCAAGGUCAGCUCUGUCUGCCUCCCAGCAAGGAUGCAAAACUCAAGGGAGGAGUUCCUGGAGCCAGACAGCCAGCAGAAUGACACCUUUCCUGCACCUCUGCCCUCCUCCCAGUCCAGCUGCACCACCUUCUUCUCCAGGAAGCCCUCCUAGCUCCCCCAGGGAGGAGGAACCUAAGCCCUCAGCAGUCCUCUCUGGGCUCUCUCUUAGGCCACUUGGGUCUGUCUCCUAUUCAACUCGCCAAGGGCAUUUAUCCUUCCAUCUCAGCCUGACUGCGCUCCUCCAGGGUAAGGACCAUAUCAGAUGCAGGCCUGUCCCCUCGGCACAUAGAAGACACAAUUGGUUUGCUAAAUGGAUGUAUGAAAUGGUUAGACCCUGUCCUCAACCCUGACAGACUGGUAUAGUAGUCAGGGGAGGAGAUGUUCAGCACGGAGGUUAAAAGUCAUGAUCCUGAGGCGGCCGUUCUGAUAGGAACCCAAGCUGGGCUCCUAGCUCUGUGCCCUUAGAAAAUCCCCUUCUCAUGGAACUUUGGGAUGCACAGGGAUUAGCACAAUGAAAACAUUCAAAACAUGACUGUUCUUUUUACCAUCAGCGUCACUAUAGUCUUUCUGGAGACAAAGGAACAGAACCAGGCAGCCUAUAGCCACAGAGGAUACGGAAGCAAAUACCUUCCCCUGGUCAAAGGCCUCAACCUCUGGCCCUGCGUCAGAGUUUCCCACAGGAGCGUGGGACUGCCUCCCAUCCAUUUCCUGUCUCUACACCCAGGAGAGCUGCUAUCUUUGCAGCAAACACUCUGAGCCCAAUGGGGUGUGCUGGAAAUAGCCGCCAAUUCCCCUAGUACAAGCAGGGCUGUGACCCUGGAACCGUCUCCUCCCCUUCCUGGCUCGCCAUGUGCAGUGAUAAGGCUCCCCUGACCACCGCACAGCUGUUCUGCAGAUUAAGCGUGGUGGGGUGGUUUUUCAAAUGGCAGGCACUCAGAUGCCACCCCCCCCUUUUUUUUUCAGAUGCCCCCUUUUUAAGUUUUGCCAUAUCUGCAAACAAUCAUAAGAUUUAAAAUUUUAAGGUGUCUUUUUUAACACCUAAAUAUAAAUAGGUAACUAAACACUGUCCAUAAUUAGGAGAUAAUAAAGAUAAGAGAGACAGUAAAUAUGCAGCAGCGCUCUGGACUUGAGGGAGAUAAACAGGAGCCUGAAAAGUGUCAGAGACAGGAUAGCACCAAACUGAGGUUCUUUCCCCCACCCCGGGAAAACAGAAGGACUGGAAGCAAACUGACAGGGAACAGCCUGGGUCACUGUGUUUUCCAAAGUCAGUGCUCAGGCCACAUAUGCAGCAAAAUUGCAAGAAGCCAAAAGUGGUCAGGUGAAAGAGCUUUGGAAAGAGUCCCGCACCGAGGAAUGCAGGGGCCUGGCCUAUCAGCUGGCCUCCCAGCAGCAAAGGCUCACUUCUGGGGCACGACCCUCCCUGGCUUCUUACUGAAACCUCCACGUUGGCUAGGCCAGGCGUCUUCUCUUGCAGAGCGAGUGGGAGCAGUCCGCGAGUGGAGUAGACAGGCUGUGGGCUGUCCGGGACCCCCCAGGCUGGAUCCUGUUGUUGGAAUCACUGCCCAGCCAAAUGCAGUUUGGAAGAAGUUCCUACUCAUUAUUGAGGAAGGCAGUUCCUUGGGUGGGAAUACCUCAUAGAGGGGCUGACCUGCCCCAAGUGGCAGACCAAAGGAAAACACGCUGCUGUUUGGGGCCUGAUGUCAGAUUUCUGUCCGAGGCAUAAGAAAGUGGAAGUGAAAGUGAAGUCGCUCAGACGUGUCUGACUCUUUGAGACCCCAUGGACUGUAGCCUACCAGGCUCCUCAAUCCAUGGAAUUUUCCAGGCAAGAGCACUGGAGUGGGUUGCCAUUUCCUUCUCCAGGAUCUUCCCAACCCAGGGAUCAAACCCAGGUCUCCCACAUUGAGGGCAGACACUUUACCCUCUGAGCCACCAGGGAGGCUAAUUUUUGAAGGAUGUGAGUGUUUUCCUGCUCUCUCCCAGCCCUGAGAAAAGGCUGCCAGCCCCCUCCGCCCUCCAGACAUCCCUGAAAGUACAUGUCAUCCAGCAUCAAGACCAUCACAAUGGUAUAAGCAGUGCAAUAGGGCUGCCCUGAGAUCUUGGCGGGACAGGAGAAGGGGGUACAGGGCUCUAUCUGCUCACUCAGAGGUUCCCACCUAUGCCAGGUCUUAAGAGGGAAACAAAUGAUCUACAUGGCCAUUCAGUCAUCUACCAGCAGCACUCCCUGGGGUCCAUCACCACAUACAAAAGCCUCCACAAGGCCCGGGGAUCCCCACCACGAACAAACAUGGGUGCCGUCCUCAGGGAACUGGAGAUCUACCCCAGUCAGACCCAGAGGCAAAGAGCUCUGACACUGGAGAGAAUGCAGCUGAAGAACAUGAUUCAGUCACUCGGACAGCACAUAUUAAGCAUCUACCAUCACAAAUGCAAUAAAGGAUGAGAAAGAGGGCAGAGAGGACUUCCUUGGUGGUUCAGUAGUGGAGAAGCUGCCCUGCAAAGCAGGGGACUCAGGUUCAAUCCCUGCUCAGGGAACUAAGAUCCCACAUCCCACCGAACAGCUGAGCUCUCAUGCCACAACUAGCGAGACCAUGUACCGCACGAAGACUCCAUGUGCUGAAACUAAGAUCUAAUGCCAGUCAAAUAAAUAAUUUUUUUUAAAAAGGAAAGAGGAAAAAAUAAAUAAAUAAGAAAGAGGGCAAAGGAUGUGUGAGGAUGUGGACCAGGGAGUUCUGAUGUCUGAAAAUCAGAGAGGGCUUCACAGAAAAAGUGGCCAUUUAAGUAGAGACUCAUCCCACCAAGAGGAGACAGGCAGGGGAGUGAGGGGGAGUAACAUGGUUCCUAGGAGCCCCAAAGUGGUGGGCACAGGACUCCCUGAAGGAGUGGGAAAAGGGGGCAAGGGCCCAAGAGUAAUAUCCCAGCUGGGCCAGAUAGGGCAGGACUAUAGCCUUUUGUGAAGGUUUUAGAAUUCAGCCAGAGGGAGACCUUUCACCAUUUUAAGCCCAGGAGAAAUAUGGGCACAUUUGCAUUUUGAGAAAUCAUUCUGAGAGGAUGGCUGGGAAGGAUGGGUGGGAAGUCGGUGGGAGUAGAAGCAAGGGAAGCCAGGUAGGAGGCUGAAGCAAAUGUUUGAGGAUAUAAAGUACCAUGAAUGUGCCAUUUGGCUGGGAUACACCAAGCAUAAAGGUGAGGUAUGGGGUCAAAAAGGUAGAACAUCAGCCAGGGUGAGGGGUGAUGGGGCGUUAGAGGGUUCUUCUGGAAUGAUGAAAUGUUCUAAAAUUGAUUGUGGUGAUGCUUCUGCCACUCUGUGUUGUUGCAUUCUUGCUCGGUCGGGUCCGACUCUUUGUGAGCCCAUGGACUGUAGCCCGCCAGGCUCUCUUCCGUCCAUGGAAUUUUCCAGGCAAGAACACUGGAGUGGGUUGCCAUUUCUUCCUCCAGUGGAUCUUCCAGACCCAGGGAUGAAACCCUCAUCUCCUGCAUCUCCUGCACUGCAGGCAGAUUCUGUCCCACUGAGCCAUCCGGGAAGCCCAACUCACCAUUCUGUGACUGAACUAAAAAACCAUUUCAUUGUGUAAUUUGAAUAGAAGGAUUAUAUCUCAACAAAACUGUUUAAAAAGAAAAGGAAGGGUGAAGCUUGGUCCCAGAGGGCUCACAUGCCAGGCGGAGGACAGGAAGCACACCGGUGUAGCUGCAGCAGCCUCCGGGGCAGGGGCUGGAGGGAGGAGCUGAGGCCCCUCUAAUGCCCCUUCUCCUGCCUAGGGUGGACUCCCUGCCAUCGACCCCUGGUGCAGAGCGGCAUGGCGUCCUGUCUCCCAGCCUGAGGUGCAGUGCUGCAUCUCUGGUCAGUUGGGAGUCUGAGAUGAAGCACUGUAGCUCGGGAAGGGAGAAGUUGUUCUGCAGCCGUCGCCAGAAGUGGUAAGUGGUAUGGUGCCUGCAGGCACCAGGAAGGAUGGGAGUGUUUCCAUUCUCCAGACUGUCCGCUGAGGAAGUAUUGGACUUGAGUCCUAUCUGUAGCACUAUCUGCUUCAUGAUUCUGGGCAAGUCCUGACUCCUCUGUGCACCGCAGUUUGUUCAUCUGUGAUAUGAGGUUUUGGAGCAUUCGGUGGUAGCCAUUACGCAGUACCCUGACUCUGCUUUCUCCUGAGCCCCUGGCAGACACAGCUGAAUCAGUCAAGGCAUCCUUUCUUAAAGCAUUCAGAUGUGGCUUCAGAAUCCUCCUUAAUGCUAAGUCCUAGAGAGCUACUAUUUAUUCAAAGCUGAAACACUCAAAAAAAAAAAAAAAAAGCUGAAACACUUCAUCAUUUGUGAACUGGUCAAUUCCUAAAAACUCUUUCAGACUGAAGACAAAGUCCUGGGCUCUGAGUCCAGCUCUUUACUCUUUGAGGUGUGGCCUAAACUAAUCCAGGCAUCUCCCAAAUAUCUGAUCCCUCUCAGGGGCUUCAGACUAGUCAGAAAUAGCAGAGGAAAACCACUGGGCUAAGCACAAUUUUAUUUAACCUCCCUACAAGCUUGGGAGGUGGAUUUUAUUGACUCAUUUUCCAGAUGAGAAAACUGAGGCUCAGGUAAGCAACUUGCCCAAGGUCACACAUAAAUUAUAUUGAGCUGGGCUUGGAACCUAAUCUGUCUGCCUUCAGAUUCAUGUUUUUACCCACUGUGUGUGACUUGGGAACCUGGGAUUGGGGGAGCAGGAGGAGAACAUAAUAAAUCCUAUUCUAGUCUUGUCCUUACAUCCUGGGUCACUUUUAGCAAAGACAGACUGAGACAUUUUCCAAUAAUCCUACAGACUUCCUUCCUCUUCUUCCCACCCCCCACCAUUGUAUUUAUCUCACCUUUCAAGUAGGUCCUAUACCAUCCCAUUUUAUAAUUGGGGAAGACUGAGCUUAAGUGAGUUGCUGGAGGUCACCUGCAAGGAAGGUGCCAAAUAGAGACUGGGAACCAGAACUGUCCAGGUAGUUUCAAGUAGAACCCUCCCUCUGGCUGGAGACUCAGGAAUACACACAAUCCACGGCAACUGAAGAGGGGGGUGGGGUGUUACCAGAUGAUUUCUGGUCGACAACAUGGCCUCUGACUACAGUAAGGUACUUUCCAGGGCCAUUGAAGUUCCAGUCACUACCCCCUCCCCUGAAGCAAUCAUCCACAUCCCGCCAGACAUGGUGGCCGCACUGGCUUCUGCAGAUGGGGCUGGAUGCAGAAGAAAACUCCAGCUGGUCCUUAGGGAUAUGGCAGGGCCUUGGUGCUGAAGGCCACUCUCUCACCUUGUCCUCACGGUCCAGUUUUCCCAGGAAUCCCUUAGAUGCUAAGAUGGGGAUUCCUGGAAAUACUGUUCUUGAGGUCAUGGUUUAACAGCUGGAUUCGCCUCCUUCCCACCCCAAGUUGCCCCCGCGGGACUUGGGCUCAAGCACAUCAUGAGGCCACGUGGAAGGCCAUGCGCUGGAGGUAAGAGGACUUGAGGACUGUGUUCUUGACCUUUAAACUGCUUUUCUUUCCAUUUUGUCCAUUUCGCAACAUCCUGUGAGGCUGGAAUGGGAACUUCACCUCUGUCCUACUCUUGGGAAAUUUGUCCAGACACUCAGCUGAGCAGUGGUUGAACCAGGACGCCAUAAAGCCUGUGUCUCUUUCCACCUCCCCCAACCUCCAUCCCAGUUCCCAGCAUCCCAAGCAGUGGUGGGGGUGGGGUCACAAUAUCAAAUCCAAGUUAGUGAUAAACAAAUAAAUAUAUGUGAAUUUAUUUUAAAAGUUCACUAGAUCGGUUAACGUAAACUAAAAAUCUGUAAGUUUUAGUUCGAUUUGGAGUACCACAGAAAAAUUUUAUAAUUUUUCAUUAAGGUAGAGAAGACAAAAAAGCUCAGACUGCCCUCUUGUGGUGAUGCCUGCCACAACCCUGGAGAACCCAGGAACACUGGGUUGUCCUACACAUACACACACACACACACACAGACUCCUUUUGAACCAGCUUCAGACCCAUCCAUCAUUUCAUUACCAAUGAUGUCUCCAUCACUUACAGUUUAAUGUAACUCACAUUACCUGGCUUUGUCCUCAAAACUCCUGAAGGUCAGUGAGAUGGUGAAGUGAUGAGUCCCUGGUCACCCAGAUAGCAUUAGGCAGAGCGAGGAUCUGUUCCGAGUUCAGUGACUCAGCCAAAAGUAAAAACUACAAAAAUAAAAAAUAAAAGGAAGACAUCUGAAUAAGUGUAGAAAAUGCUGGCUGAAUGCCAGAGACCUGAUGUGGUCCAGGUGUUAAUACUAGAACUUUUCAAAAAAUCUUCCCAGUGCUUUUUAUGGAGUUUGUAGUGACAAGAGGUGCCAUGACCCCAGGAUCCUUACUUUGGGGUCUAGUAGCCAUGUUCCCAGGGACCAGGUGGCUCCCACUUAUGUAUCAGGCUGUCUCUCUUAACAGGCCAUGCUGCAGAUAAUUUAUAAAGUAUCAAAUUCCCGUCUCUCUCCUCCUCAGACACUGGAGCUGGCCUGACCAUGAAGAAAUCUGAUUUGCUCCAAAUGAUAAUAAUAUCUUCCACUUACUGAGUAUUUGCAACUUACCAGGCACUGUGUUAAACACUUUCACAAGCAUUGUCCCAUUCAAUCCUCACAACAACUCCGUGAGAUAGGUUCUAUCACUUUUUCUACUUCACAGACGAGGCAGCCAAGGCACAGAGACAUUAAGAGACUUGUUUAAGAUCACACAGCUAACAAGUUGUAAGGCUGAGUCAAAUCAAGUCUGUGUUUAUACCCGUCACCUGCCCUUGCCCCCCUCUCUCCCCUUUGGCCUGGUCUGGCUGGUGGAGCUGUCUCCUGUGGCUUCCCCUGCGGCAGAUGGUAAAACAAGCCUUCAGGGAGACCCAAGCAGUCCCUCCUGUGUACUGUGACAAUAAUAAAGUGGGAGACCCUUGA